RNAcentral lists this ribosomal RNA (429 nucleotides) under Actinomycetes bacterium. RNAcentral describes it as "Actinobacteria bacterium partial 16S ribosomal RNA". It matches the Rfam family "Bacterial small subunit ribosomal RNA", at positions 355 to 776 of the family's 1533-position model. Lineage: Bacteria; Bacillati; Actinomycetota; Actinomycetes. The record is from RNAcentral.
UAGGGAAUCUUCCGCAAUGGGCGAAAGCCUGACGGAGCAACGCCGCGUGAGUGAUGAAGGUCUUCGGAUCGUAAAACUCUGUUAUUAGGGAAGAACAAAUGUGUAAGUAACUAUGCACGUCUUGACGGUACCUAAUCAGAAAGCCACGGCUAACUACGUGCCAGCAGCCGCGGUAAUACGUAGGUGGCAAGCGUUAUCCGGAACUAUUGGGCGUAAAGCGCGCGUAGGCGGUUUUUUAAGUCUGGUGUGAAAGACCACGGCUCAACCGUGGAGGGUCAGUGAAAACUGGAAAACUUGAGUGCUGAAGAGAAAAGUGGAUUUCCAUGUGGAGCGGUGAAAUGCGCAGAGAUAUGGAAGAACACCAGUGGCGAAGGCGACGUUCUGGUCUAUAACAGACGCUGAUGUGCGAAAGCGUGGGGAUCAAGCAGG